GAUGAACGCUGGCGGCGUGCCUAAUACAUGCAAGUCGAGCGAACAGACGAGGAGCUUGCUCCUCUGACGUUAGCGGCGGACGGGUGAGUAACACGUGGAUAACCUACCUAUAAGACUGGGAUAACUUCGGGAAACCGGAGCUAAUACCGGAUAAUAUAUUGAACCGCAUGGUUCAAUCGUGAAAGACGGUUUUGCUGUCACUUAUAGAUGGAUCCGCUCCGCAUUAGCUAGUUGGUAAGGUAACGGCUUACCAAGGCAACGAUGCGUAGCCGACCUGAGAGGGUGAUCAGCCACACUGGAACUGAGACACGGUCCAGACUCCUACGGGAGGCAGCAGUAGGGAAUCUUCCGCAAUGGGCGAAAGCCUGACGGAGCAACGCCGCGUGAGUGAUGAAGGUCUUCGGAUCGUAAAACUCUGUUAUUAGGGAAGAACAAAUGUGUAAGUAACUAUGCACGUCUUGACGGUACCUAAUCAGAAAGCCACGGCUAACUACGUG
Molecule: ribosomal RNA, 497 nt
Filed under: uncultured bacterium
Lineage: Bacteria
Description: partial 16S ribosomal RNA
Rfam family: Bacterial small subunit ribosomal RNA
Source: RNAcentral